AUAACCACAAAAGGAAGGUUGGGAUUGAUUUUGGAAGUUUUGGUCCCAACAUUUUAGGAAUUAGGGGCCAAAAAGGGCCCAAAUAAGCAUUUUCUUGGUUUUCGCACUAUAACUUUAGUAUAAGUAGAUAUAAAUCUAUGAAAUUUUGACACAAGGUUUAUGACCACAAAAGAAAGGUUGGGAUUGAUUUUGAGAGUUUUGGUUUCAACAGUUUAGGAAUUAGGGGCCAAAAAAGGGCCCAAAUAAGCAUUAUUCUUGGUUUUCGCACAAUAACUUUAGUAUAAGUAAAUAGAAAUCAAUGAAAUUUAAACACAAGGUUUAUGACCACAAAAGGAAGGUUGGGAUUGAUUUUGAGAGUUGAGGUCCGAGCAGUUUAGGAAUUAGGGGCCAAAAAGGGGCCCAAA
RNAcentral lists this long non-coding RNA (404 nucleotides) under Mytilus galloprovincialis (Mediterranean mussel). Lineage: Eukaryota; Metazoa; Mollusca; Bivalvia; Mytilida; Mytilidae. The record is from RNAcentral.